RNAcentral lists this ribosomal RNA (244 nucleotides) under uncultured Staphylococcus sp. RNAcentral describes it as "partial 16S ribosomal RNA". It matches the Rfam family "Bacterial small subunit ribosomal RNA", at positions 96 to 334 of the family's 1533-position model. The record is from RNAcentral. Lineage: Bacteria; Bacillati; Bacillota; Bacilli; Caryophanales; Staphylococcaceae.
CGGCGGACGGGUGAGUAACACGUGGGUAACCUACCUAUAAGACUGGGAUAACUCCGGGAAACCGGGGCUAAUACCGGAUAAUAUAUUGAACCGCAUGGUUCAAUAGUGAAAGACGGUUUUGCUGUCACUUAUAGAUGGAUCCGCGCCGCAUUAGCUAGUUGGUAAGGUAACGGCUUACCAAGGCAACGAUGCGUAGCCGACCUGAGAGGGUGAUCGGCCACACUGGAACUGAGACACGGUCCAG